Molecule: ribosomal RNA, 497 nt
Filed under: uncultured bacterium
Lineage: Bacteria
Description: partial 16S ribosomal RNA
Rfam family: Bacterial small subunit ribosomal RNA
Source: RNAcentral
GAUGAACGCUGGCGGCGUGCCUAAUACAUGCAAGUCGAGCGAACGGACGAGAAGCUUGCUUCUCUGAUGUUAGCGGCGGACGGGUGAGAAACACGUGGAUAACCUACCUAUAAGACUGGGAUAACUUCGGGAAACCGGAGCUAAUACCGGAUGAUAUUUUGAACCGCAUGGUUCAAAAGUGAAAGACGGUCUUGCUGUCACUUAUAGAUGGAUCCGCGCUGCAUUAGCUAGUUGGUAAGGUAACGGCUUACCAAGGCAACGAUGCAUAGCCGACCUGAGAGGGUGAUCGGCCACACGAGAACUGAGACACGGUCCAGACUCCUACGGGAGGCAGCAGUAGGGAAUCUUCCGCAAUGGGCGAAAGCCUGACGGAGCAACGCCGCGUGAGUGAUGAAGGUCUUCGGAUCGUAAAACUCUGUUAUUAGGGAAGAACAUAUGUGUAAGUAACUGUGCACAUCUUGACGGUACCUAAUCAGAAAGCCACGGCUAACUACGUG